RNAcentral lists this unclassified non-coding RNA (390 nucleotides) under soil metagenome. Its description in RNAcentral is "partial contains 5.8S ribosomal RNA, internal transcribed spacer 2, and large subunit ribosomal RNA". The stretch from base 1 to 122 matches the Rfam family "5.8S ribosomal RNA", at positions 35 to 154 of the family's 154-position model. The record is from RNAcentral.
GAUGAAGAACGUAGCGAAAUGCGAUACUUGGUGUGAAUUGCAGAAUCCCGUGAACCAUCGAGUCUUUGAACGCAAGUUGCGCCCGAAGCCAUUAGGCCGAGGGCACGCCUGCCUGGGCGUCACACGUCGUUGCCCCCCCAUCUACUCCUUCGGGAUUGCGGGGGGCGGAUGAUGGCCUCCCGUGCGCCUUGUCGCGCGGUUGGCAUAAAUGCCAAGUCCUCGGCGACGCACGCCACGACAAUCGGUGGUUGCGAAACCUCGGUUGCCCGUCGUGUGCGGUCGUCGCGCAUCGAGGGCUCGAAAAAAUGCUCGGCUCCGGCUGGGCUUUCAACGCGACCCCAGGUCAGGCGGGGUUACCCGCUGAAUUUAAGCAUAUCAAUAAGCGGAGGA